CUUGUACACACCGCCCGUCACACCAUGGAAGUUGGUUGCACCAGAAGUAGGUAGCCUAACCGUAAGGAGGGCGCUUACCACGGUGUGGCCAAUGACUGGGGUG
RNAcentral lists this ribosomal RNA (103 nucleotides) under uncultured bacterium. RNAcentral describes it as "partial 16S ribosomal RNA". It matches the Rfam family "Bacterial small subunit ribosomal RNA", at positions 1380 to 1482 of the family's 1533-position model. The record is from RNAcentral.